This is a non-coding RNA of Callithrix jacchus (white-tufted-ear marmoset), 107 nucleotides long. The record is from Rfam. Lineage: Eukaryota; Metazoa; Chordata; Mammalia; Primates; Cebidae.
GUGCUUGCAUUGUCAACACAUAUUCUAAAAUUGGAACAAUGCAGAGAAGAUCAGCAUGCCCAUGUUUAAGAAUGACAUGCAAAUUUGUGAAUGCUCCAUAUAUUUUU